Molecule: ribosomal RNA, 424 nt
Filed under: uncultured bacterium
Lineage: Bacteria
Description: bacterial SSU rRNA
Rfam family: Bacterial small subunit ribosomal RNA
Source: RNAcentral
GGAUGAUCCUACCCAUGAGUUAGGAAGUAACGGCUGGAAACGGUCGCUAAUACCAAAUACGCUCCGUAUUUCAACCGUUACGGGGGAAAGGGUGGCCUCUGCUUGCAAGCUACUGCUCAUGGAUGAGUCCGCCGUCCCAUUAGCUAGUUGGGUGGGUAACGCCCACCAAGGCGACGAUGGGUAGCCGGUCUGAGAGGAUGACCGGCCACACUGGGACUGGAACACGGCCCAGACUCCUACGGGAGGCAGCAGUGGGAAUAUUGCGCAAUGGGCGAAAGCCUGACGCAGCGACGCCGCGUGGAAGGGAUGAAGGUCCUCGGAUCGUAAACCUCUGUCAGGAGGGAAGAACCGCCACGGUGCUAACCAGCCGUGGUCUGACGGUACCUCCAAAGGAAGCACCGGCUAACUCCGUGCCAGCCGCCGC